Molecule: ribosomal RNA, 763 nt
Filed under: uncultured Streptococcus sp.
Lineage: Bacteria; Bacillati; Bacillota; Bacilli; Lactobacillales; Streptococcaceae
Description: bacterial SSU rRNA
Rfam family: Bacterial small subunit ribosomal RNA
Source: RNAcentral
GAUGAACGCUGGCGGCGCGCCUAAUACAUGCAAGUAGAACGCUGAAGGAGGAGCUUGCUCUUCUGGAAGAGUUGCGAACGGGUGAGUAACGCGUAGGUAACCUGCCUCUUAGCGGGGGAUAACUAUUGGAAACGAUAGCUAAUACCGCAUAAAAGUCGACAUUGCAUGAUGUUGACUUGAAAGGUGCAACUGCAUCACUAAGAGAUGGACCUGCGUUGUAUUAGCUAGUUGGUGAGGUAACGGCUCACCAAGGCGACGAUACAUAGCCGACCUGAGAGGGUGAUCGGCCACACUGGGACUGAGACACGGCCCAGACUCCUACGGGAGGCAGCAGUAGGGAAUCUUCGGCAAUGGGGGCAACCCUGACCGAGCAACGCCGCGUGAGUGAAGAAGGUUUUCGGAUCGUAAAGCUCUGUUGUAAGAGAAGAACGAGUGUGAGAGUGGAAAGUUCACGCUGUGACGGUAUCUUACCAGAAAGGGACGGCUAACUACGUGCCAGCAGCCGCGGUAAUACGUAGGUCCCGAGCGUUAUCCGGAUUUAUUGGGCGUAAAGCGAGCGCAGGCGGUUAGAUAAGUCUGAAGUUAAAGGCUGUGGCUUAACCAUAGUACGCUUUGGAAACUGUUUAACUUGAGUGCAGAAGGGGAGAGUGGAAUUCCAUGUGUAGCGGUGAAAUGCGUAGAUAUAUGGAGGAACACCGGUGGCGAAAGCGGCUCUCUGGUCUGUAACUGACGCUGAGGCUCGAAAGCGUGGGGAGCAAACAGG